AGAGUCGGCCAGACAGUCGCUGUGCGCGAUGCGCAUGGAGGAAAGUCCGGGCUCCGACGGGCAAGGUGCCAGGUAACACCUGGGGGGCGUGAGCCCACGGAAAGUGCAACAGAAAGAUACCGCCGAAGCGCCGCAAGGCGCUGGCAAGGGUGAAAUGGUGCGGUAAGAGCGCACCGCGCCCUCGGCAACGAGGGUGGCACGGCAAACCCCACCUGGAGCAAGGCCAAAUAGGGAAGCUAGCGGUGCCUGCGGCCGCGACCUGUGGCCCACAGGCGCUUCCGGGUAGGCUGCUCGAGGUGCGCGGCGACGCGCAUCCCAGAGGAAUGACUGUCCACGACAGAACCCGGCUUACCGGCCGACUCUCUGA
Molecule: RNase P RNA, 367 nt
Filed under: Gammaproteobacteria bacterium
Lineage: Bacteria; Pseudomonadati; Pseudomonadota; Gammaproteobacteria
Description: RNase P RNA component class A
Rfam family: Bacterial RNase P class A
About the family: Ribonuclease P (RNase P) is a ubiquitous endoribonuclease, found in archaea, bacteria and eukarya as well as chloroplasts and mitochondria. Its best characterised activity is the generation of mature 5'-ends of tRNAs by cleaving the 5'-leader elements of precursor-tRNAs.
Source: RNAcentral